UUAAAGCGAUUCAGCGGGUUACGAUUGACGGAGCGAAGCGACGUCAAAGCGUAUACAAAGUCGAGUCGGUUUAAGGAUACGUUCGUUGGGUAGGGGAGCGUUCUGUAAGCCUGUGAAGGUGGCCUGUGAGGGUUGCUGGAGGUAUCAGAAGUGCGAAUGCUGACAUAAGUAACGAUAAAGCGGGUGAAAAGCCCGCUCGCCGGAAGACCAAGGGUUCCUGUCCAACGUUAAUCGGGGCAGGGUGAGUCGACCCCUAAGGCGAGGCCGAAAGGCGUAGUCGAUGGGAAACAGGUUAAUAUUCCUGUACUUGGUGUUACUGCGAAGGGGGGACGGAGAAGGCUAUGUUGGCCGGGCGACGGUUGUCCCGGUUUAAGCGUGUAGGUGUGUGUUCCAGGUAAAUCCGGUUCACUUUAACACUGAGGCGUGACGACGAGGCACUACGGUGCUGAAGCAACAAAUGCCCUGCUUCCAGGAAAAGCCUCUAAGCAUCAGGUAACAUCAAAUCGUACCCCAAACCGACACAGGUGGUCAGGUAGAGAAUACCAAGGCGCUUGAGAGAACUCGGGUGAAGGAACUAGGCAAAAUGGUGCCGUAACUUCGGGAGAAGGCACGCUGACACGUAGGUGAAGUGAUUUACUCAUGGAGCUGAAGUCAGUCGAAGAUACCAGCUGGCUGCAACUGUUUAUUAAAAACACAGCACUGUGCAAACACGAAAGUGGACGUAUACGGUGUGACGCCUGCCCGGUGCCGGAAGGUUAAUUGAUGGGGUCAGCGCAAGCGAAGCUCCUGAUCGAAGCCCCGGUAAACGGCGGCCGUAACUAUAACGGUCCUAAGGUAGCGAAAUUCCUUGUCGGGUAAGUUCCGACCUGCACGAAUGGCGUAAUGAUGGCCAGGCUGUCUCCACCCGAGACUCAGUGAAAUUGAACUCGCUGUGAAGAUGCAGUGUACCCGCGGCAAGACGGAAAGACCCCGUGAACCUUUACUAUAGCUUGACACUGAACAUUGAGCCUUGAUGUGUAG
RNAcentral lists this ribosomal RNA (1020 nucleotides) under Salmonella enterica subsp. enterica serovar Zanzibar. RNAcentral describes it as "partial 23S ribosomal RNA". It matches the Rfam family "Bacterial large subunit ribosomal RNA", at positions 1162 to 2141 of the family's 2925-position model. Lineage: Bacteria; Pseudomonadati; Pseudomonadota; Gammaproteobacteria; Enterobacterales; Enterobacteriaceae. The record is from RNAcentral.